Molecule: ribosomal RNA, 400 nt
Filed under: uncultured bacterium
Lineage: Bacteria
Description: bacterial SSU rRNA
Rfam family: Bacterial small subunit ribosomal RNA
Source: RNAcentral
AAUCAACGCUGGCGGCGUGCCUCAGACAUGCAAGUCGAACGAUUAAAGCUCUCUUCGGAGAGUGUAUAGAGUGUCGCACGGGUGAGUAACACGUAAGUAAUCUACCUUUGAGUGGGGAAUAACCCGGGGAAACCGAGCUAAUACCGCAUAAUGCAGCGGCACCGCAAGGUGACAGUUGUUAAAGGAGCAAUCCGCUUAAAGAGGAGCUUGCGGCAGAUUAGCUAGNGGUAAGGUAAUGGCUUACCAAGGCUUCGAUCUGUAUCCGGCCUGAGAGGGCGGUCGGACACACUGGACACUGAAUAACGGGUCAGACUCCUACGGGAGGCAGCAGUCGGGAAUUUUGGGCAAUGGCGAAAGCCUGACCCAGCAACGCCGCGUGAAGGAUGAAGUAUUUCGGUAU